AGCGAACGCUGGCGGCAGGCUUAACACAUGCAAGUCGAACGGGCGUAGCAAUACGUCAGUGGCAGACGGGUGAGUAACGCGUGGGAACGUACCUUUUGGUUCGGAACAACCCAGGGAAACUUGGGCUAAUACCGGAUAAGCCCUUACGGGGGAAAGAUUUAUCGCCGAAAGAUCGGCCCGCGUCUGAUUAGCUAGUUGGUGAGGUAACGGCUCACCAAGGCGACGAUCAGUAGCUGGUCUGAGAGGANGAUCAGCCACAUUGGGACUGAGACACGGCCCAAACUCCUACGGGGAGGCAGCAGUGGGGAAUAUUGGACAAUGGGCGCAAGCCUGAUCCAGCCAUGCCGCGUGAGUGAUGAAGGCCCUAGGGUUGUAAAGCUCUUUUGUGCGGGAAGAUAAUGACGGUA
This 407-nucleotide ribosomal RNA is filed under the name uncultured bacterium. RNAcentral describes it as "bacterial SSU rRNA". It matches the Rfam family "Bacterial small subunit ribosomal RNA", at positions 29 to 477 of the family's 1533-position model. The record is from RNAcentral.